Molecule: unclassified non-coding RNA, 426 nt
Filed under: Hevea brasiliensis (rubber tree)
Lineage: Eukaryota; Viridiplantae; Streptophyta; Magnoliopsida; Malpighiales; Euphorbiaceae
Source: RNAcentral
AAAUAACAGCAGCAAGGAGGAGGAGGAGGGGAGGGAUCCUAAGAGCAGAGCCCCAGGUGAAAAAGGCCAUAGAGGAAGAAAUCCUGCGGCGCCAAGGCCUACACUCCUCGUCGUCGUGAUCGUACUCGGAGACUGCUUGCUUAAGAGACAAGCGAGGCCUUAAUCCCCCAAGAUUUGCCAGAUUUGGGCCUUGGUUGCAAAAAAAAAAAAAAGGAAAUUGCAAAGGGGGGAAAUGCAGAUCGGAUAAAGUAAUGGUAUUUAUAUUUAGGCCAUAAGAUAAUUGAUAGCUAUUAAAAGAAUACAAUAAAUGGUUUUGUUCGCACCUUCACCUAAUCGUCUAAUUGAGAAAUUGAUGUAAUGUGUUUACUUUGAGAGGAGGAAGGUGCAGCUGCAGGUGCUGCUCGAUCAAGCGGACUUGCUUCUCUC